Molecule: ribosomal RNA, 443 nt
Filed under: uncultured bacterium
Lineage: Bacteria
Description: partial 16S ribosomal RNA
Rfam family: Bacterial small subunit ribosomal RNA
Source: RNAcentral
CCUACGGGUGGCUGCAGUGGGGAAUAUUGGGCAAUGGGCGAAAGCCUGACCCAGCAACGCCGCGUGAAUGAUGAAGGCCCUCGGGUUGUAAACUUCUUUUAUAAGGGACGAAGCAAGUGACGGUACCUUAUGAAUAAGCCACGGCUAACUACGUGCCAGCAGCCGCGGUAAUACGUAGGUGGCAAGCGUUAUCCGGAUUUACUGGGUGUAAAGGGCGUGUAGGCGGGAACGUAAGUCAGAUGUGAAAACCAUGGGCUCAACCUGUGGCCUGCAUUUGAAACUGUUUUUCUUGAGUACUGGGGAGGCAGAUGGAAUUCCUAGUGUAGCGGUGGAAUGCGUAGAUAUUAGGAGGAACACCAGUGGCGAAGGCGGUCUGCUGGACAGUAACUGACGCUGAGGCGCGAAAGCGUGGGGAGCAAACAGGAUUAGAUACCCUAGUAGUC